Molecule: long non-coding RNA, 2602 nt
Organism: Cairina moschata (Muscovy duck)
Lineage: Eukaryota; Metazoa; Chordata; Aves; Anseriformes; Anatidae
Source: Ensembl
UCUGCCAAUACAUAUGACCCUUAUCAUUCCUGAACAACAUUUCUGUUCAUUUUUACUACUUUUUUUUUUUUUUUUUCUGUUAAAAUACAGUACUUUUGGUGCUGCUGCAGAAAUUUGUGAAAUGCAAAUAAAGAUGAAGGCUGAUUUCAGAAGCAAUACCACCUUUCCCCAAGAUCAUCAUCAGAUGCUAGAUUUUCUGGUGCCCUUUGAUGAGAUUAUACUUAUGGAAAAGCAAUCGCCUUCUAUAAAGAAGCCCUGUGUGGUUCACUGGCCCCUAGCUGAGCUGUGGGCUGAAUGAACAAGAACACCCUCAGCACCAUCCUAGCACCACGGUCAAAGCAGGCAAGAUCACCAUCUGUGCUCAGAAUGAGGAUAAUGAAUUUGCUAAGACAUCUUGUAACCUCGGUCCCUCUGCUAGAGUAAGAGCAGCCAUGGUGGUGUUGGUUUGCCUUAUCGCGGUCACAGAUCAGUCAGAAAGGAGCUGAGGCUGCUUUUAUCAGUCUUGUGGUUGUAGAGACCGCAUGAAACCAGGAUGACUGUCUCCCUUCCUGUAUAGAAAUUGCAUUACGAAGUCCAAAAAGAGAGAAUCCGGUCAUGGCAAUUUUUAAUAUCUACAUGCCUGGCUGAACUGGCUCCCUUCUGGAUAGACAACCACCAUGCAACUGCACUGGGCGAGGAUGCUCCCACCACGAGGUCCAACUGCAGCAAAAUCAGACACCAAAAUUUUUUUAACCUUUUGUCUCUUCCCACCUCUCCAUCAUUCAAGCCUACAAACAUCUGAAGCUCUGUGUCAUGGGAAAUGUCCGCAAAUGAGGUCCGAGCUUGCACAGGAACAUCUUUGCUUAACAUCCACCACGUUGAUGACUGUAACUUAAUUACCGUGCAUACAGUACCAGUGACAGUAAAUAUUAGUGCUGUGUGCUGCAGAACAAAUAUCCCAUGAUGAAAAAUUCAAACAGUAUCGAGCUUUUCAUUAGUGCAGUAAUGGCUUUCUCACACAUUUAGCUCAUUUUUAACUCAACCUGCUAUGGGAAGGAAAUGACAUACUUUUUGUUGAAUAAGACAGCACAGAGAUUAUAUGAAGGCACUUUUUUAUGGGUAAAGAAACGUAUGCUACAUUAAUCUAUUUUUAUGCUUUGCACUACAUGCUGAUGAGUCAUUUGAAUGCCAAGUUUCAUUAGUAAGUUGGGAGUGAUAUAAGUGGCUCUACGAUAAAAUAAAAUACAUGUAUUUCAUUUAAGAAUGCAAAAAUUUCAGUGUUGCUGCAGAAUGUCUUAGAACACCACCUAGUAUCACAAGAAAGAAGGAUAAAAUCUUAGGACCCUAUUUAUAAAGGGAAUUUUGUGUCCAUAAAAAGUACAUUAGUAAUACAAUCUGCCCAACAUGGUAUUGUUCUAUCAAUUCUCCACGGAUCAUAUUAGUCAGUGUCCUGUUAACAUCCAUUUUAUCAUACUGUCAUAAUAUUAUAUUGAAAUGAGAUCUGGCACUUUUGGGGUCCUGUGCAAGAUGAAAAAAAAUGGGUCUCCAGCAGUCUUCCUCUUAGAUAUAAUUGAAAAAGAGGCAGGCAUGAGGGCAUGCUGUGACUCACGCUGCCAGAGAGUGAUCCGGAAUCAUUCAGAUGAUGAGUACAUAGAGAAUGCCGUGCACAGAAAGAUGGCAAUUUGCUGUACUAAUGUUUUGAAAAUGAAAAUUUCUAGCUGUUUUGCAGAGGAGCUUAGUAGGAAAGGCAGAAGAAGAAAAUAAUAAUAAUAAUAAAAUCUUUUAUAGUUAAGCCUGAUUAUUUCUGCUGUUUUCAGAAAGGCUACACUACAAGAACAAUGUUUUCACAAGAAUAGUGUAAAACAUAAAUGAAUAUUGCUUUAUUGACCAAAAUAAUUAUUAAAAAAAAAAAAAAAAAAAUAGAAGGAAAACAAAAAAUGGAACAAAAAUAUGAAAAAAAAAAAACAAAAAACGCUCCCUUUUCUUGAGGAUUAAUUAUAUACAGAGAGAUUCAGGGGUGCCUUUCAGUCCCCUUGAAACAAAUCUUGGAUCCUCAUUCCUGUCACUGUGGCCACAUAUCCAUAGGGAGGGACACCUAGAUACUCACUGUACUUCAAGCCCAUAAGACUAUAUUUCUGCCAUCAAGCACCAUUUCCAAUAGCCAAAUUAUCUGACAAGCCCUAGCAGGAUUAAAACAAUACUUCUCAUUCUUCCCAAAUAGACUAUAAACAACAACAUCAACAUCCUAUUCCUUUGGUGUUUCCACUGAGCUUUAAUUCAAAUGAGCAAUGCCAACCUUUAGUAUCAAUGGUGUCAAUACUGAUACAUAGUUUAAAAGUUUUAUUGUUUUAUUUAUACAUUUAUUUAUUCUCAUCCUUUGAUUUGACUAGCCUUAUUCUUGAGAUCUUGACUUUGUACUAAAUGAAGAAAAUUUACUACUAAGUGAAGUCCGUUCCUUCAUAAUUUUGUUCUUAAAGACUCCAAAACUCAUACUGAUGGCCUGUCCCCAAGAAAACAAUUCACCUACAUAACCUGAGCCUUCUUUCAGAAAGUGAACCAAUCUCCCAUUAAAAUAAAUAAAUAAAUAAAUAAAUAAAUAAAUCAAAUUCUGCCUUUAGUCUAU